GGUCAAGUGAAGAAGCGCAUACGGUGGAUGCCUUGGCAGUCAGAGGCGAUGAAAGACGUGGUAGCCUGCGAAAAGCUUCGGGGAGUCGGCAAACAGACUGUGAUCCGGAGAUAUCUGAAUGGGGGAACCCAGCCAUCAUAAGAUGGUUAUCUUGUACUGAAUACAUAGGUGCAAGAGGCGAACCAGGGGAACUGAAACAUCUAAGUACCCUGAGGAAAAGAAAUCAACCGAGAUUCCCUUAGUAGUGGCGAGCGAACGGGGACCAGCCCUUAAGUUGUAUUGAGAUUAGCGGAACGUUCUGGAAAGGACGGCCAUAGUGGGUGAUAGCCCUGUACGCGAAAAUCCCUUUGCAAUGAAAUCGAGUAGGACGGGGCACGAGAAACCUUGUCUGAAUAUGGGGGGACCAUCCUCCAAGGCUAAAUACUACUGACUGACCGAUAGUGAACCAGUACCGUGAGGGAAAGGCGAAAAGAACCGCGGAGAGCGGAGUGAAAUAGAUCCUGAAACCGUAUGCGUACAAGCAGUGGGAGCCCACUUGUUGGGUGACUGCGUACCUUUUGUAUAAUGGGUCAGCGACUUAUUUUCAGUGGCGAGCUUAACCGAAUAGGGGAGGCGUAGCGAAAGCGAGUCUUAAUAGGGCGUCUAGUCGCUGGGAAUAGACCCGAAACCGGGCGAUCUAUCCAUGGGCAGGUUGAAGGUUGGGUAACACUAACUGGAGGACCGAACCGACUACCGUUGAAAAGUUAGCGGAUGACCUGUGGAUCGGAGUGAAAGGCUAAUCAAGCUCGGAGAUAGCUGGUUCUCCUCGAAAGCUAUUUAGGUAGCGCCUCAUGUAUCACUGUAGGGGGUAGAGCACUGUUUCGGCUAGGGGGUCAUCCCGACUUACCAAACCGAUGCAAACUCCGAAUACCUACAAGUGCCGAGCAUGGGAGACACACGGCGGGUGCUAACGUCCGUCGUGAAAGGGAAACAACCCAGACCGUCAGCUAAGGUCCCAAAGUCAUGGUUAAGUGGGAAACGAUGUGGGAAGGCUUAGACAGCUAGGAGGUUGGCUUAGAAGCAGCCACCCUUUAAAGAAAGCGUAAUAGCUCACUAGUCGAGUCGGCCUGCGCGGAAGAUGUAACGGGGCUCAAACCAUGCACCGAAGCUACGGGUAUCAUCUUAGGAUGAUGCGGUAGAGGAGCGUUCUGUAAGCCUGUGAAGGUGAGUUGAGAAGCUUGCUGGAGGUAUCAGAAGUGCGAAUGCUGACAUGAGUAACGACAAUGGGUGUGAAAAACACCCACGCCGAAAGACCAAGGUUUCCUGCGCAACGUUAAUCGACGCAGGGUUAGUCGGUCCCUAAGGCGAGGCUGAAAAGCGUAGUCGAUGGAAAACAGGUUAAUAUUCCUGUACUUCUGGUUAUUGCGAUGGAGGGACGGAGAAGGCUAGGCCAGCCUGGCGUUGGUUGUCCAGGUUUAAGGUGGUAGGCUGAGAUCUUAGGUAAAUCCGGGAUCUUAAGGCCGAGAGCUGAUGACGAGUGUUCUUUUAGAACACGAAGUGGUUGAUGCCAUGCUUCCAAGAAAAGCUUCUAAGCUUCAGGUAACCAGGAACCGUACCCCAAACCGACACAGGUGGUUGGGUAGAGAAUACCAAGGCGCUUGAGAGAACUCGGGUGAAGGAACUAGGCAAAAUGGCACCGUAACUUCGGGAGAAGGUGCGCCGGUGGAGGUGAAGCAUUUACUGCGUAAGCCCCUGCCGGUCGAAGAUACCAGGCCGCUGCGACUGUUUAUUAAAAACACAGCACUCUGCAAACACGAAAGUGGACGUAUAGGGUGUGACGCCUGCCCGGUGCCGGAAGGUUAAUUGAUGGGGUUAGCGCAAGCGAAGCUCUUGAUCGAAGCCCCGGUAAACGGCGGCCGUAACUAUAACGGUCCUAAGGUAGCGAAAUUCCUUGUCGGGUAAGUUCCGACCUGCACGAAUGGCGUAACGAUGGCGGCGCUGUCUCCACCCGAGACUCAGUGAAAUUGAAAUCGCUGUGAAGAUGCAGUGUAUCCGCGGCUAGACGGAAAGACCCCGUGAACCUUUACUAUAGCUUUGCACUGGACUUUGAAUUUGCUUGUGUAGGAUAGGUGGGAGGCUUUGAAGCGUGGACGCCAGUCUGCGUGGAGCCAACCUUGAAAUACCACCCUGGCAACUUUGAGGUUCUAACUCAGGUCCGUUAUCCGGAUCGAGGACAGUGUAUGGUGGGUAGUUUGACUGGGGCGGUCUCCUCCUAAAGAGUAACGGAGGAGUACGAAGGUGCGCUCAGACCGGUCGGAAAUCGGUCGUAGAGUAUAAAGGCAAAAGCGCGCUUGACUGCGAGACAGACACGUCGAGCAGGUACGAAAGUAGGUCUUAGUGAUCCGGUGGUUCUGUAUGGAAGGGCCAUCGCUCAACGGAUAAAAGGUACUCCGGGGAUAACAGGCUGAUACCGCCCAAGAGUUCAUAUCGACGGCGGUGUUUGGCACCUCGAUGUCGGCUCAUCACAUCCUGGGGCUGAAGCCGGUCCCAAGGGUAUGGCUGUUCGCCAUUUAAAGUGGUACGCGAGCUGGGUUUAGAACGUCGUGAGACAGUUCGGUCCCUAUCUGCCGUGGACGUUUGAGAUUUGAGAGGGGCUGCUCCUAGUACGAGAGGACCGGAGUGGACGAACCUCUGGUGUUCCGGUUGUCACGCCAGUGGCAUUGCCGGGUAGCUAUGUUCGGAAAAGAUAACCGCUGAAAGCAUCUAAGCGGGAAACUUGCCUCAAGAUGAGAUCUCACUGGAACCUUGAGUUCCCUAAAGGGCCGUCGAAGACUACGACGUUGAUAGGUUGGGUGUGUAAGCGCUGUGAGGCGUUGAGCUAACCAAUACUAAUUGCCCGUGAGGCUUGACCAU
This 2892-nucleotide ribosomal RNA is filed under the name Pseudomonas syringae. RNAcentral's name for it is "23S ribosomal RNA". It matches the Rfam family "Bacterial large subunit ribosomal RNA". The record is from RNAcentral. Lineage: Bacteria; Pseudomonadati; Pseudomonadota; Gammaproteobacteria; Pseudomonadales; Pseudomonadaceae.